UACAUGGGGUGCAAACGUUGCUCGGAAUUAUUGGGCGUAAAGCGCGCGUAGGCGGUUGCUUAUGUCGGAUGUGAAAGCCCUCGGCUCAACUGAGGAAGUGCAUCCGAAACUGGGCAGCUAGAGUACUAAAGAGGGUCGCGGAAUUCCCGGUGUAGAGGUGAAAUGCGCAGAUAUCGGGAGGAACACCGGUGGCGAAGGCGGUUCUCUGGGCCUUACCUGACGCUGAGGAGCGAAAGCGUGGGGAGCAAACAGG
Molecule: ribosomal RNA, 253 nt
Filed under: uncultured bacterium
Lineage: Bacteria
Description: partial 16S ribosomal RNA
Rfam family: Bacterial small subunit ribosomal RNA
Source: RNAcentral